This 329-nucleotide long non-coding RNA is filed under the name Carica papaya (papaya). Its description in RNAcentral is "long non-coding RNA (CPAP_LNC006613)". Lineage: Eukaryota; Viridiplantae; Streptophyta; Magnoliopsida; Brassicales; Caricaceae. The record is from RNAcentral.
UUUGCUAUCCGAAAUAGGGUAGAUGACUCCGACGUCUAGCAGCUUCAAGACCUCCUUCUUUACAACUUCAAUCAUUAGUGGGUUCAAUCACCUCUACACCUAUUGUUGGGCUUAUUGUCUUCCUCUAUCAGUAUUUUAUGCAUGCAAGUAAAAGGUGAUAUUUCUUUAAUGUUAGUGAUGGUCCACCCGAUUGCCUCCCUAUAGUCCUGGAGUACCUUGAUUAGUCUUUCUUCUUCUGUUUUGCUCAAUUUAUUGGAGAUUAUCACUGGAAGAGUUUCUCUCUCUCCCAGGACCAUGUACUUCAGGUGUCUAGGCAGUGGCUUCAGCUC